UACGAAGGGGGCUAGCGUUGCUCGGAAUCACUGGGCGUAAAGCGCACGUAGGCGGAUCUUUAAGUCAGGGGUGAAAUCCCGGAGCUCAACUCCGGAACUGCCUUUGGUACUGAGGGUCUCGAGUCCGGGAGAGGCGAGUGGAACUGCGAGUGUAGAGGUGAAAUUCGUAGAUAUUCGCAAGAACACCAGUGGCGAAGGCGGCUCACUGGCCCGGUACUGACGCUGAGGUGCGAAAGCGUGGGGAGCAAACAGG
This 253-nucleotide ribosomal RNA is filed under the name uncultured bacterium. RNAcentral's name for it is "partial 16S ribosomal RNA". It matches the Rfam family "Bacterial small subunit ribosomal RNA", at positions 524 to 776 of the family's 1533-position model. The record is from RNAcentral.